Molecule: ribosomal RNA, 468 nt
Filed under: uncultured bacterium
Lineage: Bacteria
Description: partial 16S ribosomal RNA
Rfam family: Bacterial small subunit ribosomal RNA
Source: RNAcentral
GACGAACGCUGGCGGCGUGCUUAACACAUGCAAGUCGAACGGAAAGGCCCUGCUUUUGUGGGGUGCUCGAGUGGCGAACGGGUGAGUAACACGUGAGUAACCUGCCCUUGACUUUGGGAUAUCUCCAGGAAACUGGGGCUAAUACAGGAUAGGAGCUCCUGCUGCAUGGUGGGGGUUGGAAAGUUUCGGCGGUUGGGUAUGGACUCGCGGCUUAUCCGCUUGUUGGUGGGGUAGUGGCUUUCCAAGGCUUUGACGGGUAGCCGGCCUGGGAGGGUGACCGGCCACAUUGGGACUGGGAUACGGCACAGACUCCAACGGGAGGCAGCAGUGGGGAGUAUUGCACAGUGGGCGGAAGGCUGAUGCAGCGACGCCGCGUGCGGGAUGACGGCCUUCGGGUUGUAAACCACUUUCGCCUGUGACGAAGCGUGAGUGACGGUAAUGGGUAAAGAAGCACCGGCUAACUACGUG